GUGUGUGUGUGUGUGUGUGUGUGUGUGUGUGUGUGUCUGUGUCCCCACAAGGUUAGUUAUACAUGACUGUGUGUGUGUGUGUGUGUGUGUGUGUGUGUGUGUGUGUGUGUGUGUGUGUGUGUGUGUGUGUGUGUGUGUGUGUGUGUGUGUGUGUGUGUGUGUGUGUGUGUCCCCACAAGGUUAGUUAUACAUGACUGUGUGUGUGUGUGUGUGUGUGUGUGUGUGUGUGUGUGUGUGUGUGUGUGUGUGUGUGUGUGUGUGUGUGUGUCUGUGUCCCCACAAGGUUAGUUAUACAUGACUGUGUGUGUGUGUGUGUGUGUGUGUGUGUGUGUGUGUGUGUGUGUGUGUGUCUGUGUCCCCACAAGGUUAGUUAUACAUGACUGUGUGUGUGUGUGUGUGUGUGUGUGUGUGUGUGUCUGUGUCCCCACAAGGUUAGUUAUACAUGACUGUGUGUCUGUGUCCCCACAAGGUUAGUUAUACAU
Molecule: long non-coding RNA, 482 nt
Filed under: Salmo salar (Atlantic salmon)
Lineage: Eukaryota; Metazoa; Chordata; Actinopteri; Salmoniformes; Salmonidae
Description: lncRNA (ENSSSAG00000121957.1)
Source: RNAcentral